RNAcentral lists this ribosomal RNA (443 nucleotides) under uncultured bacterium. Its description in RNAcentral is "partial 16S ribosomal RNA". It matches the Rfam family "Bacterial small subunit ribosomal RNA", at positions 338 to 795 of the family's 1533-position model. The record is from RNAcentral.
CCUACGGGGGGCUGCAGUGGGGAAUAUUGGGCAAUGGAGGCAACUCUGACCCAGCAACGCCGCGUGAAUGAUGAAGGUCUUCGGAUUGUAAAGUUCUUUUCUAAGGGAAGAAGAAAGUGACGGUACCUUAGGAAUAAGCCUCGGCUAACUACGUGCCAGCAGCCGCGGUAAUACGUAGGAGGCAAGCGUUAUCCGGAAUGACUGGGCGUAAAGGGUGCGUAGGUGGUUUGACAAGGUAGUAGCGCAACUCCGGGGCUCAACUUCGGAACUACUACUAAAACUGGUGGACUUGAGUGCAGGAGAGGUAAGCGGAAUUCCAGGUGUAGCGGUGAAAUGCGUAGAUAUUAGGAGGAACACCAGAGGCGAAGGCAGAUUGCUAGACUGUAACUGACGCUGAGGGACGAAAGCGUGGGGAGCAAACAGGAGUAGAUACCCGGGUAGUC